Molecule: ribosomal RNA, 376 nt
Filed under: uncultured bacterium
Lineage: Bacteria
Description: bacterial SSU rRNA
Rfam family: Bacterial small subunit ribosomal RNA
Source: RNAcentral
UAAUACAGAGGUCCCAAGCGUUGUUCGGAUUUACUGGGCGUAAAGGGAGCGUAGGUGGCGGGCAAAGUCCAAUGUGAAAGCUCUGAGCUCAACUCAGAAAUGGCAUUGGAUACUGGCUUGCUCGAGGAUUGGAGGGGAGACUGGAAUGCUCGGUGUAGCAGUGAAAUGCGUAGAUAUCGAGCGGAACACCAGUGGCGAAGGCGAGUCUCUGGACAAUUCCUGACACUGAUGCUCGAAAGCUAGGGGAGCAAACGGGAUUAGAUACCCCGGUAGUCCUAGCUGUAAACGGUGCGCGCUUGCUGUAGGUGGAUUCGACCCCGCCUGUAGCGAAGCUAACGCGUUAAGCGCGCCGCCUGGGAAGUACGGUCGCAAGAUU